RNAcentral lists this long non-coding RNA (4121 nucleotides) under Sus scrofa (pig). RNAcentral's name for it is "lncRNA (ENSSSCG00000047808.1)". The record is from RNAcentral. Lineage: Eukaryota; Metazoa; Chordata; Mammalia; Artiodactyla; Suidae.
GAGUUAAGGUGGUGACAGUGCAAAUGAAGAAGUAAAUGUGUAUGCAACAUGUUUUUGGAGAAGAAAGCCAAGAAGGAGUAGCAAUGGCCAUGGAAAUGCUGAUCAAGGAGGUAAAGUCUUCAGUGACCGAAUGAUCAAGUCAGGAAAAAACCACUUCGGAAAGGUUUAGUGGGUGGUGUAGCUGAACGUAAAAAGAGCUUAGGGUUUUGAGUGAGAAGGAAAAGAAAUCCUUUUAAUGUGACCAUGAGAAGCAAGGCAGAUGCUUGCUAGCUCUCAUGGAGUUAGAGGGGGGAAAAAAAAAGAAAAAAGCCUCCCCCGGAGAGGGUUCCAGGAGAAGUUGUGUUAGAAGGGGACAGACCAGCUUUCAGUUAAGGCGUGGAAAUGAGAGGGUUGCUCCUGUACAAACAGAGUCUGCUGAUCAGAGAUCGGGAGUCCCAGAGGACAGGGUGAGAGCAUUUAGAGGAAGAGGAGAGGAGGCGAGGGGUUUGAAAUCCACAGCGUGACAUGAGAGUGAGUGGCCUCAGAAUAAUAAUGGUUACCGCUAAAGCCUGGGACUUCUGCAGGGAGUGCAAAUAACCUGGAACCCGAGGCACGACAAGAUAAAUCUUGAGAGGCUCAUGAGAAGGAGGACAAUAGAUACAAGCUAUGACCCUGAACAAGCGGCUUGAUGGCAUGAAGGUCUCUAGGUGACUUUUCCCUCCUGCAACGCAUGCAAUGGUUGGUCUGGGUGAUGGGGUCACUGGGUGCCACCCCUCCAUCCUACAAGGACAAUGACUCAUGUGGCUAGGGUCCAGAGGAAUACUCUCUCAGAGAGCUGGACAUAGAGUUUCUGUAGCUGCCAUGUUCGUAUUAGAUCCCAUGUCUCUAGACAUAAUUCAUUGGAACACGGAUGGGCACCUGCCCCAACCUGGACCAGUUAGAGUCUUUUCCUAGAAUCUUCUGCUUAGGACAGGGAGCCCUUCACUGGGGAUGGAAGUCAUUAGAUAUAAAACAUGGUCUCUGCAGACAGCUAGUUUUCCAGUCAUGCAGACAGAGCCAGUCUAAACAAGAAUAAUCAACUGUUUCUUGAAUGUCAUGGGCCAAUUAAUUUUACCUUUUGGUCUAAGAUAAAGUCAGGUUUCUGUGCCUCAAAACCCAGAAUACUAACUUGAAACCAAAGACUAAUAGCUAUGCACAAAUUCUGUCACCACCUUCUAUUGACCAUAGCAAGACGUAGUGUAACAGCUCCUUAAAAUUAGCUAUACAGACAACAGUGUGGUUCCACUCCAGUGCCCUGCAGCCUAGGCACCCAGGAAGAGUUAGUGUUUCAUUAUGAAUGCAAAGGCAGGGAAAAACUGAUGACUCCACUCAAAGACCAUCAGGCAAAAGGAAUUCACUCUUAUUCAGCCCAUGUGUUCUACUCAGGCCUUCAACUGAUUGGACGAGGCCCAUCCAUGUUAGGGAGAGGCAUCUGCUUUCUCUACCAAUUCAAAUGUUAAUCUCUGGAGACAUCUUCACAGACACGCCCAAAAUAACAUCCAGCCAAAUAACUGCUCACCCCACGGCCCAGUCCAGUUGACAUACAACAUGAGCUAUCCCACUACACAAUCUUUCACAGCUGCCUUCCAAUGUAUGUCUGCCUUUCAUUGUAUUGAGGGCUGCAGGAUGUAUUACUACUGUUAUUGAGUAGGUCCAGAUGCCAGGAUUGUGUGCUUGUGAUGGUGACUUGGACUAGCUCUUGGGUUAGGUGAAGUCCUGAUGAAGGAACAGCAGAGGUAGGGAAAUCAUGCAAAGGACAAGAAAGGAAACCCCUGAGCUGACUUUCCUCCCUUCGCUGAGUGAGCAGACUAUUUUAAGCAAGAGGAGUUGACAACAUCUGGAAAACUCUAUAAAGUAGUUUGUGAAAGUCCAUAAAGCAGAAUGAGCUUUAGGAAGGUUAACUGAAAGAGACUGUCCUCCAGGAAAGCCAAGUUGGUGGGGUGAAAGUUUCAUAAUCUGGGCAGAAUACAAAAACAUCACCAGUGUGACGCUUGCAACGGUAUCAAGGAGAGCAGGAAUCUGAUUCCAAGGCAAAAAUCAGAGCUUAGAAAGAAAUCCCUCAGUUUACUCAUCUGAAGAAUGGACAUAAAAAUACUGUGUUGUGCAGGGGAUUUGCUAGUUUAUUCUCUGGGGGCUGUCACACUAUGUCAUGCUAGGGUCAAUGGAGGAAGACUGCAGAAUUUGGGUACUUGCUAUGAUUCUUGCAAGGAACCAUUAGAAACCACCUGCCACAUUGUAAGGGUUCCUUACCUUCUACUGCCUGCUGCCCUUGCACCCAGGGGCUGGGGCAACACAGAAGACGUGAAGGGCAAGAGCUAUGAGAUCAAAGACCGGGGCGGAAGCCUCAGGGGCCAAGCCUUUAAGGGAGACUUUUCUGAAAUGGCUGGCAUAGUAGCAGCUGUGAGAUUCCCCAGCACAGGCAUGUCUUUGCAUAUUGGGCUUAGGGGGCUUCCUUGGGCCCAAUGUGUUACUAUCUUUCUUCUAACGCUCAUCAUUCUUUCACAGCAAUGGUCUCUUCUGUUCGUGGAGCAUCUCUGGGCAGAUGACAGAGGGGGAACCCUGGUUUUCAUGGUCCUGAGUAUUCGAGAAGUUCAAGGACUCCUUUGCCUCAGAUAAAUCACCGAAGGCCAAGUCAAGGCUCAAGCCCGGAUCUCAGCCCUCACAUGCCAUGCUACACUGUCUCCAUGAAGUCGCAGCACACUGCUUUGCCCUGACUGGGCUUUUUGGACACAGUAAAUAUGAAAUAAAGUUGCAGCGCCUCAAUUGGCUCAUGCGUUUUUGAGCACUUACUAGAAACAGGGAUGCAAAUGAAGGGCUGAUGCACCAACUCUCACUCCAAAACGGCCCUUGAAUUCGUCCUCCUCUGCAGCCUCUGCCCCUGCCUCUACUCAGCCUCCACUUUUCAUGUGGCCAAAGCCACCUGUUCUCCCUGUCUGCAGCUGCUCCAUCCUUCCUACUGUUACCAUCAUUUGUGCCUCUGUCUUCAGUGAAAACCCCAAUGGCACCCAAAUCAUGUUGGCAGAGUUCUUCCAUCGCGGUUACACAGUAGAAUUCCCAGGGCAUUAAAUGUCAGGCCCUGUCCCAGAUAUUCUGACCUUAACUGGCCUGGGGUGGGACCAUUGUUCUAUUUGUUUUAAUCUCCAGGCUACAGUCAAGGGCUGCCAAGGCUGAAAAUCUUUUGGAUUACCAAGUAAAGCCAGAUCUCCUGAGCAUGAUAUCCGAAGCCCUUCACACUGAGCAGUAAUCAAUAUUUCUUGCCUCUCCCCGUGUACAUUUGUUAUUACAAUGUUAUGAAAAUGUCUGUCAUCUCUGUUCAACUGUGAGUUUCUCAAGGACAAAACCCCUGUCAUUCAUCUCUGUGUCCCUCAUAGUCAUCAUAACACCUACAAACAGUAAGUGCUUAAUAAAUGUUGGUUGGGUGGGUGGAUGGUAAGUGGUUGGCGGGAGUGGGGACCAGUGACUAGUAGUAAAAUUCUGAACUAACCUGCUCAGGGACCUGCACUCCCAGAGCUGAAUGACCAGGACAAAGAAGGAAGUCUCUUACAUCAAUGUGUCUCUAUUUGCUCCAGAAAAUUCUUGCCAAGGAAGAUAAAGGCGUAAAGGGUAUAAACCCUUGGUCCACUAAUCCCAAAUAUUGAACUUGAACUUUGCCUGAUCCCAAUCAGAUCCCCGUGUUGAAAUUCCAUCUACCUUCAGCCAGAUUUUCAAAUCCUAACCUCUCUCCUCUUAGACCCUAGACAUUAUCAAUUGGGUAUUCUUCCUAUUUUAGUUAAGCAAUACACUCAACUUUGUUUGAUCAAUAGGUUAUUUUAGUGGCCUUUUAGGGCAUCAAAAAUCAACACCUCCAUUCUUUUCUUAUCUCACAGUGUGGUUUUGGGUAAGUCAGAUAUGUUGUCAAAUAUCUCUGGAUAUAAAAUGAAUCCGAGAAUUCUUAUCACUUGCCUUCCUUGCAAAGUCAUUAGAGAAUGAAAUAUGCUACAAUUUUCUGCAACGCUUUCCAUCCAAGGAUCUCAAAGCACUUUAUUUCUGCCAGAUGCAAAUACAUUACAUGAUUAAUAGUCUGCUUCUGAAAGUCACAGGGAAAAGGAUUUCAUGGCUCCAAG